UAGGGAAUCUUCCGCAAUGGACGCAAGUCUGCCGGAGCAACGCCGCGUGAGUGAAGAAGGAUUUCGGUUCGUAAAACUCUGUUGUUAGAGAAGAACAGCGCAUAGAGUAACUGUUAUGCGUGUGACGGUAUCUAACCAGAAAGCCACGGCUAACUACGUGCCAGCAGCCGCGGUAAUACGUAGGUGGCAAGCGUUGUCCGGAUUUAUUGCGCGUAAAGCGAGCGUAGGCGGUCAAUUAAGUCUGAUGUGAAGGCCCCCGGCUCAACCCGAGAGGGUCAUUGGAAACAGGUUGACUUGGUUGAAGAGUAGGAGGGAGGAAUUCCAUGUGUGGCGGUGAAAUGCGUAGAUAUAUAGAGGAACUCCAGUGACGAAGGCGACUAUCUGGUCUGUAACUUACGCAGAGGCUCGAAAGCGUGGGUAGCAGACAGG
This 429-nucleotide ribosomal RNA is filed under the name Bacteroidota bacterium. RNAcentral describes it as "Bacteroidetes bacterium partial 16S ribosomal RNA". It matches the Rfam family "Bacterial small subunit ribosomal RNA", at positions 355 to 776 of the family's 1533-position model. Lineage: Bacteria; Pseudomonadati; Bacteroidota. The record is from RNAcentral.